This 497-nucleotide ribosomal RNA is filed under the name uncultured bacterium. Its description in RNAcentral is "partial 16S ribosomal RNA". It matches the Rfam family "Bacterial small subunit ribosomal RNA", at positions 28 to 507 of the family's 1533-position model. The record is from RNAcentral.
GAUGAACGCUGGCGGCGUGCCUAAUACAUGCAAGUCGAGCGAACAGACGAGGAGCUUGCUCCUCUGCCGUUAGCGGCGGACGGGUGAGUAACACGUGGAUAACCUACCUAUAAGACUGGGAUAACUUCGGGAAACCGGAGCUAAUACCGGAUAAUAUAUUGAACCGCAUGGUUCAAUAGUGAAAGACGGUUUUGCUGUUACUUAUAGAUGGUUCCGCGCCGCAUUAGCUAGUUGGUAAGGUAACGGCUUACCAAGGCAACGAUGCGUAGCCGACCUGAGAGGGUGAUCGGCCACACUGGAACUGAGACACGGUCCAGACUCCUACGGGAGGCAGCAGUAGGGAAUCUUCCGCAAUGGGCGAAAGCCUGACGGAGCAACGCCGCGUGAGUGAUGAAGGUCUUCGGAUCGUAAAACUCUGUUAUUAGGGAAGAACAAAUGUGUAAGUAACUAUGCACGUCUUGACGGUACCUAAUCAGAAAGCCACGGCUAACUACGUG